UGGGGAAUAUUGGACAAUGGGCGGAAGCCUGAUCCAGCAACGCCGCGUGAGGGAUGACGGCCUUCGGGUUGUAAACCUCUUUCAGUACCGACGAAGCGAAAGUGACGGUAGGUACAGAAGAAGGACCGGCCAACUACGUGCCAGCAGCCGCGGUAAUACGUAGGGUCCGAGCGUUGUCCGGAAUUAUUGGGCGUAAAGGGCUCGUAGGCGGUUUGUCGCGUCGGGAGUGAAAACAGCGGGCUUAACUCGUUGCUUGCUUUCGAUACGGGCAGACUAGAGGUAUGCAGGGGAGAAUGGAAUUCCUGGUGUAGCGGUGAAAUGCGCAGAUAUCAGGAGGAACACCGGUGGCGAAGGCGGUUCUCUGGGCAUUACCUGACGCUGAGGAGCGAAAGUGUGGGGAGCGAACAGGAUUAGAUACCCUGGUAGUCCACACCGUAAACGUUGGGCGCUAGGUGUGGGGUCCUUUCCACGGAUUCCGUGCCGUAGCUAACGCAUUAAGCGCCCCGCCUGGGGGAGUACGGCCGCAAGGCUCAAAAC
This 537-nucleotide ribosomal RNA is filed under the name uncultured bacterium. RNAcentral describes it as "partial 16S ribosomal RNA". It matches the Rfam family "Bacterial small subunit ribosomal RNA", at positions 355 to 900 of the family's 1533-position model. The record is from RNAcentral.